RNAcentral lists this ribosomal RNA (1532 nucleotides) under Chlamydia psittaci. RNAcentral describes it as "bacterial SSU rRNA". It matches the Rfam family "Bacterial small subunit ribosomal RNA". RNAcentral also lists the same sequence under 1 other name. Lineage: Bacteria; Pseudomonadati; Chlamydiota; Chlamydiia; Chlamydiales; Chlamydiaceae. The record is from RNAcentral.
AGAAUUUGAUCUUGGUUCAGAUUGAACGCUGGCGGCGUGGAUGAGGCAUGCAAGUCGAACGGAAUAAUGACUUCGGUUGUUAUUUAGUGGCGGAAGGGUUAGUAAUACAUAGAUAAUCUGUCCUCAACUUGGGAAUAACGGUUGGAAACGACCGCUAAUACCGAAUGUGGUAUGUUUAGGCAUCUAAAGCAUAUUAAAGAAGGGGAUCUUCGGACCUUUCGGUUGAGGGAGAGUCUAUGGGAUAUCAGCUUGUUGGUGGGGUAAUGGCCUACCAAGGCUUUGACGUCUAGGCGGAUUGAGAGAUUGACCGCCAACACUGGGACUGAGACACUGCCCAGACUUCUACGGAAGGCUGCAGUCGAGAAUCUUUCGCAAUGGACGAAAGUCUGACGAAGCGACGCCGCGUGUGUGAUGAAGGCUCUAGGGUUGUAAAGCACUUUCGCUUGGGAAUAAGAGAGAUUGGCUAAUAUCCAAUCGAUUUGAGCGUACCAGGUAAAGAAGCACCGGCUAACUCCGUGCCAGCAGCUGCGGUAAUACGGAGGGUGCUAGCGUUAAUCGGAUUUAUUGGGCGUAAAGGGCGUGUAGGCGGAAAGGAAAGUUAGAUGUUAAAUCUUGGGGCUCAACCCCAAGCCAGCAUCUAAUACUAUCUUUCUAGAGGGUAGAUGGAGAAAAGGGAAUUCCACGUGUAGCGGUGAAAUGCGUAGAUAUGUGGAAGAACACCAGUGGCGAAGGCGCUUUUCUAAUUUACACCUGACGCUAAGGCGCGAAAGCAAGGGGAGCAAACAGGAUUAGAUACCCUGGUAGUCCUUGCCGUAAACGAUGCAUACUUGAUGUGGAUAGUCUCAACCCUAUCCGUGUCGUAGCUAACGCGUUAAGUAUGCCGCCUGAGGAGUACACUCGCAAGGGUGAAACUCAAAAGAAUUGACGGGGGCCCGCACAAGCAGUGGAGCAUGUGGUUUAAUUCGAUGCAACGCGAAGAACCUUACCUGGGCUUGACAUGUAUUUGACCGCGGCAGAAAUGUCGUUUUCCGCAAGGACAGAUACACAGGUGCUGCAUGGCUGUCGUCAGCUCGUGCCGUGAGGUGUUGGGUUAAGUCCCGCAACGAGCGCAACCCUUAUCGUUAGUUGCCAACACUUAGGGUGGGAACUCUAACGAGACUGCCUGGGUUAAUCAGGAGGAAGGCGAGGAUGACGUCAAGUCAGCAUGGCCCUUAUGCCCAGGGCUACACACGUGCUACAAUGGCCAGUACAGAAGGUAGCAAUAUCGUGAGAUGGAGCAAAUCCUCAAAGCUGGCCCCAGUUCGGAUUGUAGUCUGCAACUCGACUACAUGAAGUCGGAAUUGCUAGUAAUGGCGUGUCAGCUAUAACGCCGUGAAUACGUUCCCGGGCCUUGUACACACCGCCCGUCACAUCAUGGGAGUUGGUUUUGCCUUAAGUCGUUGACUCAACCUGCAAAGGAGAGAGGCGCCCAAGGUGAGGCUGAUGACUGGGAUGAAGUCGUAACAAGGUAGCCCUACCGGAAGGUGGGGCUG